RNAcentral lists this transfer RNA (69 nucleotides) under Stemonidium hypomelas. RNAcentral describes it as "tRNA-Met". It matches the Rfam family "tRNA". Rfam says of the family: Transfer RNA (tRNA) molecules are approximately 80 nucleotides in length. Their secondary structure includes four short double-helical elements and three loops (D, anti-codon, and T loops). The record is from RNAcentral. Lineage: Eukaryota; Metazoa; Chordata; Actinopteri; Anguilliformes; Serrivomeridae.
AGUAAAGUCAGCUAAAGAAGCUCUCGGGCCCAUACCCCGAACAUGUUGGUUAGAAUCCUUCCCUUACUA